This 882-nucleotide ribosomal RNA is filed under the name uncultured fungus. RNAcentral describes it as "eukaryotic LSU rRNA". The stretch from base 433 to 586 matches the Rfam family "5.8S ribosomal RNA". Lineage: Eukaryota; Fungi. The record is from RNAcentral.
UUCUUGGUCAUUUAGAGGAAGUAAAAGUCGUAACAAGGUUUCCGUAGGUGAACCUGCGGAAGGAUCAUUAAAGAAAUUUAAUAAUUUUGAAAAUGGAUUUUUUUGUUUUGGCAAGAGCAUGAGAGCUUUUACUGGGCAAGAAGACAAGAGAUGGAGAGUCCAGCCGGGCCUGCGCUUAAGUGCGCGGUCUUGCUAGGCUUGCAAGUUUCUUUCUUGCUAUUCCAAACGGUGAGAGAUUUCUGUGCUUUUGUUAUAGGACAAUUAAAACCGUUUCAAUACAACACACUGUGGAGUUUUCAUAUCUUUGCAACUUUUUCUUUGGGCAUUCGAGCAAUCGGGGCCCAGAGGUAACAAACACAAACAAUUUUAUCUAUUCAUUAAAUUUUUGUCAAAAACAAGAAUUUUCGUAACUGGAAAUUUUAAAAUAUUAAAAACUUUCAACAACGGAUCUCUUGGUUCUCGCAUCGAUGAAGAACGCAGCGAAAUGCGAUACGUAAUGUGAAUUGCAGAAUUCCGUGAAUCAUCGAAUCUUUGAACGCACAUUGCGCCCCUUGGUAUUCCAGGGGGCAUGCCUGUUUGAGCGUCAUUUCCUUCUCAAACAUUCUGUUUGGUAGUGAGUGAUACUCUUUGGAGUUAACUUGAAAUUGCUGGCCUUUUCAUUGGAUGUUUUUUUUCCAAAGAGAGGUUUCUCUGCGUGCUUGAGGUAUAAUGCAAGUACGGUCGUUUUAGGUUUUACCAACUGCGGCUAAUCUUUUUUUAUACUGAGCGUAUUGGAACGUUAUCGAUAAGAAGAGAGCGUCUAGGCGAACAAUGUUCUUAAAGUUUGACCUCAGAUCAGGUAGGAGUACCCGCUGAACUUAAGCAUAUCAAUAAGCGGAGGAA